This 774-nucleotide ribosomal RNA is filed under the name uncultured Neocallimastigales. RNAcentral's name for it is "partial large subunit ribosomal RNA". It matches the Rfam family "Eukaryotic large subunit ribosomal RNA", at positions 26 to 644 of the family's 3401-position model. The record is from RNAcentral. Lineage: Eukaryota; Fungi; Neocallimastigomycota; Neocallimastigomycetes; Neocallimastigales.
CGCAUCUGUGCAUGCAGCAUAUCAAUAAGCGGAGGAAAAGAAACGAACAAGGAUUCCCCUAGUAACGGCGAGUGAAGCGGGAAGAGCUCAAAUUUGAAAUCUUAAAGGGUUUCCCUUUACGAAUUGUAGUUUAAAGAAGUGUUUUCUGUUGAGGUUUUGGUAAAAGUUCUUUGGAAUAGGACAUCAUAGAGGGUGAGAAUCCCGUAUUUGACCUUUACUUUCAACUUUGUGAUACACUUUCAAAGAGUCGGAUUGUUUGGGAAUGCAGUCCAAAAUGGGUGGUAAAUUUCAUCUAAAGCUAAAUAUUGGCGAGAGACCGAUAGCGAACAAGUACCGUGAGGGAAAGAUGAAAAGAACUUUGAAAAGAGAGUUAAACAGUACGUGAAAUUGUCAAAAGGGAAGCGUUUGACACCAGUGUUGUUUUUCUGAAAAUCAAUUAAAGAACUGUUUAUGCUAAGCUGUUUAGACUUUAUCAGCUAACUGUUUAGUUUUGAGCUUUUCUUUAAUGCACUUUUCAGUUAACAAGUCAACAUCAAUUUCUUUUGCUGUAAAAAAGCUUGAGGAAGGUGGCUUGAGAUUCGUCUUAAGUGUUUAUAGCCUCUUGCCUAUGCAGUCGGAGAGAUUGAGGUCUGCAGCGUAGAUCCUUCGGGGCUAAAUGCAUUUGUGCUAAGUUAUAGCAUUUUAUAGACAACUUGUUGACUAUGAUUUGUCUUGUAGCUUACUCGCUUAUGUUAUUUUACCUACGCUUAGGAUGUUGAAUCUGUGCGAGACUAC